GAUGAACGCUGGCGGCGUGCCUAAUACAUGCAAGUCGAGCGAACAGACGAGGAGCUUGCGCCUAUGACGUUAGCGGCGGACGGGUGAGUAACACGUGGAUAACCUACCUAGAAGACUGGGAUAACUUCGGGAAACCGGAGCUAAUACCGGAUAACAUGUGGAACCGCAUGGUUCAACAGUGAAAGACGGUCUUGCUGUCACUUAUAGAUGGAUCCGAGCCGCAUUAGCUAGUUGGUAAGGUAACGGCUUACCAAGGCAGCGAUGCGUAGCCGACCCGAGAGCGUCAUCGCCUACCCUGGCACUGAGACACGGCCCCCACUCCUUCGGGAGGCCGCAGUAGGGACUCUUCCGCGAGGGGCCAAUGCCUGACCCAGCACAGCCGCCUGAGUCCAGACGGUCCUCGGAUCUUUAAACUCUGUUAGUAGGGAAGAACAAAUAUUUAAUUACCUAGGCCCGUCUUGACGGUACCCAAACAGAAAGCCCCGGCUAACUACGUG
This 497-nucleotide ribosomal RNA is filed under the name uncultured bacterium. RNAcentral describes it as "partial 16S ribosomal RNA". It matches the Rfam family "Bacterial small subunit ribosomal RNA", at positions 28 to 507 of the family's 1533-position model. The record is from RNAcentral.